GAUGAACGCUGGCGGCGUGCCUAAUACAUGCAAGUCGAGCGAACGGACGAGAAGCUUGCUUUUCUGAUGUUAGCGGCGGACGGGUGAGUAACACGUGGAUAACCUACCUAUAAGACUGGGAUAACUUCGGGAAACCGGAGCUAAUACCGGAUAAUAUUUUGAACCGCAUGGUUCAAAAGUGAAAGACGGCUUUGCUGUCACUUAUAGAUGGAUCCGCGCUGCAUUAGCUAGUUGGUAAGGUAACGGCUUACCAAGGCAACGAUGCGUAGCCGACCUGAGAGGGUGAUCGGCCACACUGGAACUGAGACACGGUCCAGACUCCUACGGGAGGCAGCAGUAGGGAAUCUUCCGCAAUGGGCGAAAGCCUGACGGAGCAACGCCGCGUGAGUGAUGAAGGUCUUCGGAUCGUAAAACUCUGUUAUUAGGGAAGAACAGAUGUGUAAGUAACUGUGCACAUCUUGACGGUACCUAAUCAGAAAGCCACGGCUAACUACGUG
RNAcentral lists this ribosomal RNA (497 nucleotides) under uncultured bacterium. RNAcentral's name for it is "partial 16S ribosomal RNA". It matches the Rfam family "Bacterial small subunit ribosomal RNA", at positions 28 to 507 of the family's 1533-position model. The record is from RNAcentral.